This 142-nucleotide unclassified non-coding RNA is filed under the name uncultured Teratosphaeriaceae. RNAcentral describes it as "sequence contains ITS2". The record is from RNAcentral. Lineage: Eukaryota; Fungi; Ascomycota; Dothideomycetes; Mycosphaerellales; Teratosphaeriaceae.
ACACCCAUCAAGCCUGGCUUGGUAUUGGGCGACGGGACCUCCCCGCGCCCCGAUUUCGCCGGCUGGACGACUCCGAUCUCUCAAGCGUUGUACAAUCUCGCUGAUGAGACGGGCGGCCCACGCCGUUAACCUCAAUCAAUCA